This 603-nucleotide ribosomal RNA is filed under the name uncultured Bacteroidales bacterium. RNAcentral's name for it is "bacterial SSU rRNA". It matches the Rfam family "Bacterial small subunit ribosomal RNA", at positions 85 to 678 of the family's 1533-position model. Lineage: Bacteria; Pseudomonadati; Bacteroidota; Bacteroidia; Bacteroidales. The record is from RNAcentral.
CUGAUGGCGACCGGCGCACGGGUGAGUAACACGUAUCCAACCUGCCGUCUACUCUUGGCCAGCCUUCUGAAAGGAAGAUUAAUCCAGGAUGGGAUCAUGAGUUCACAUGUCCGCAUGAUUAAAGGUAUUUUCCGGUAGACGAUGGGGGAUGCGUUCCAUUAGAUAGUAGGCGGGGUAACGGCCCACCUAGCUCAACGAUGGAUAGGGGUUCUGAGAGGAAGGUCCCCCACAUUGGAACUGAGACACGGUCCAAACUCCUACGGGAGGGCAGCAGUGAGGAAUAUUGGUCAAUGGGCGAUGGCCUGAACCAGCCCAAAGUAGCGUGAAGGAUGACUGCCCUAUGGGUUGUAAACUUCUUUUAUAAAGGAAUAAAGUCGGGUAUGCAUACCCGUUUGCAUGUACUUUAUGAAUAAGGAUCGGCUAACUCCGUGCCAGCAGCCGCGGUAAUACGGAGGAUCCGAGCGUUAUUCCGGAUUUAUUGGGUUUAAAGGGAGCGUAGAUGGAUGUUUAAGUCAGUUGUGAAAGUUUGCGGCUCAACCGUAAAAUUGCAGUUGAUACUGGAUGUCUUGAGUGCAGUUGAGGCAGGCGGAAUUCGUGGUGUAG